CCCCGGUUAGCUAAUAGGCAAAGCAGCCGAUUUAUAGUCGGAUAUAUAUGGGUUCGAAUCCCGUACCGGGGAC
This 73-nucleotide transfer RNA is filed under the name Streptomyces phage Moab. RNAcentral's name for it is "tRNA-Ile". It matches the Rfam family "tRNA". Rfam says of the family: Transfer RNA (tRNA) molecules are approximately 80 nucleotides in length. Their secondary structure includes four short double-helical elements and three loops (D, anti-codon, and T loops). RNAcentral also lists the same sequence under 1 other name. Lineage: Duplodnaviria; Heunggongvirae; Uroviricota; Caudoviricetes; Stanwilliamsviridae. The record is from RNAcentral.